GGCAUGCUUACACAUGCAAGUCGAACGGCAGCACGGGGGCAACCUGGUGGCGAGUGGCGAACGGGUGAGUAAUAUAUCGGAACGUGCCCUAGAGUGGGGGAUAACGUAGCGAAAGUUACGCUAAUACCGCAUACGAUCUACGGAUGAAAGUGGGGGAUCGCAAGACCUCAUGCUCAUGGAGCGGCCGAUAUCUGAUUAGCUAGUUGGUAGGGUAAAAGCCUACCAAGGCGACGAUCAGUAGCUGGUCUGAGAGGACGACCAGCCACACUGGGACUGAGACACGGCCCAGACUCCUACGGGAGGCAGCAGUGGGGAAUUUUGGACAAUGGGCGCAAGCCUGAUCCAGCAAUGCCGCGUGAGUGAAGAAGGCCUUCGGGUUGUAAAGCUCUUUUGUCAGGGAAGAAACGGUUUGGCCUAAUACGCUGGACUAAUGACGGUACCUGAAGAAUAAGCACCGGCUAACUACGUGUAGAGGCGCGGUAAUACGUAGGGUGCAAGCGUUAAUCGGAAUUACUGGGCGUAAAGCGU
Molecule: ribosomal RNA, 528 nt
Filed under: uncultured eubacterium WJGRT-96
Lineage: Bacteria
Description: bacterial SSU rRNA
Rfam family: Bacterial small subunit ribosomal RNA
Source: RNAcentral